RNAcentral lists this long non-coding RNA (813 nucleotides) under Cercocebus atys (sooty mangabey). RNAcentral describes it as "lncRNA (ENSCATG00000045650.1)". Lineage: Eukaryota; Metazoa; Chordata; Mammalia; Primates; Cercopithecidae. The record is from RNAcentral.
UGUGGCCCAGGGAAGCCAAUGUGGAUACCCCUGAUUUAGAUGAUAGUCCACUUCUGCCACUUCGUUGAGCUUCAUUUAUCUGAUCUGCCACAUGCAAAGGUUAGGGGACAUCCUCUUCAGCUGCAAUGUAGUCUUCUGGGAUCUAAUUAUGAUGUCUCUUGGAAUCUGGCCCACAUACAAGAAUUCAAGCUGGUUUUCCAGGGUGGAGACCAUGAAGAAAUCCCAAUCGGAUUCACUGGAAUUCAUUUACUAUUCAGUAGCAUGACCUAUAAAAACAAACGAAAAGAAUAUGGAACAUAAAACUAAAGAAAAAUGUUGAUAGAAGUUCUCCAGAGAAAGGAAAGUUAAAAGAUCUAACUUCUAUGUGGUUACAAAGGGCAUAAUCAAGACCAUUGGCUAGAUGCUAUAGGAGGUAGCUGUAAGUACAAUGAAUGGGAAAGCCUUUGUAAUAUACAGACUGGUUCAGUAAUGAAGUGGAAUAUGUUGACUUUUCCAUCACUGCAAUGUUCAAGAAGAGAUACAUAUUUACUGUUUUCUCAGGGGUACUGUGAAGAAGAUGCCUGUGAUGAUAUGCGGUUGAACAUUGUUUUCACAUUUAAUGAAGUAAUGGCUAGUGGACCGGGUCACCUGACAGUACCAGUCAACCUACAGGCUCAAACUGAUUUGUACUUUGGAGGGAAGGAGAAGUGGCUUUGGAAACUGCAACCUUUUCUAAAUCAAGGAGAUGCUGCUUCUGAGACUGAAAUUCUUAACAACAUGUUCCUUGUGACCUAUUUGGAUCACAAAUCCAGUUCCUUGCUGAAUAAAGAAUAA